UGAUGCGAUCAUACCAGCACUAAAGCACCGGAUCCCAUCAGAACUCCAAAGUUAAGCGUGCUUGGGAGAGAGUAGUACUAGGAUGGGUGACCUCCUGGGAAGUCCUCGUGUUGCAUUCCC
RNAcentral lists this ribosomal RNA (120 nucleotides) under Thinopyrum intermedium. Lineage: Eukaryota; Viridiplantae; Streptophyta; Magnoliopsida; Poales; Poaceae. The record is from RNAcentral.